UGACAAUGAGAGAGAGCACAC
Molecule: microRNA, 21 nt
Filed under: Citrus sinensis (sweet orange)
Lineage: Eukaryota; Viridiplantae; Streptophyta; Magnoliopsida; Sapindales; Rutaceae
Description: csi-miR535b-5p
Gene: csi-miR535a
Source: miRBase by way of RNAcentral